This 2871-nucleotide ribosomal RNA is filed under the name Salmonella enterica subsp. enterica serovar Enteritidis. RNAcentral describes it as "bacterial LSU rRNA". It matches the Rfam family "Bacterial large subunit ribosomal RNA". Lineage: Bacteria; Pseudomonadati; Pseudomonadota; Gammaproteobacteria; Enterobacterales; Enterobacteriaceae. The record is from RNAcentral.
GGGUUGUGAGGUUAAGCGACUAAGCGUACACGGUGGAUGCCCUGGCAGUCAGAGGCGAUGAAGGGCGUGCUAAUCUGCGAUAAGCGCCGGUAAGGUGAUAUGAACCGUUAUAACCGGCGAUACCCGAAUGGGGAAACCCAGUGUGAUUCGUCACACUAUCAUUAACUGAAUCCAUAGGUUAAUGAGGCGAACCGGGGGAACUGAAACAUCUAAGUACCCCGAGGAAAAGAAAUCAACCGAGAUUCCCCCAGUAGCGGCGAGCGAACGGGGAGGAGCCCAGAGCCUGAAUCAGCAUGUGUGUUAGUGGAAGCGUCUGGAAAGGCGCGCGAUACAGGGUGACAGCCCCGUACACAAAAGCGCAUGUGCUGUGAGCUCGAUGAGUAGGGCGGGACACGUGGUAUCCUGUCUGAAUAUGGGGGGACCAUCCUCCAAGGCUAAAUACUCCUGACUGACCGAUAGUGAACCAGUACCGUGAGGGAAAGGCGAAAAGAACCCCGGCGAGGGGAGUGAAAAAGAACCUGAAACCGUGUACGUACAAGCAGUGGGAGCNNNNNNNNNNNNNNNNNNNNNNNNNNNNNNNNNNNNNNNNNNNNNNNNNNNGGGCGUUAAGUUGCAGGGUAUAGACCCGAAACCCGGUGAUCUAGCCAUGGGCAGGUUGAAGGUUGGGUAACACUAACUGGAGGACCGAACCGACUAAUGUUGAAAAAUUAGCGGAUGACCUGUGGCUGGGGGUGAAAGGCCAAUCAAACCGGGAGAUAGCUGGUUCUCCCCGAAAGCUAUUUAGGUAGCGCCUCGUGAAUUCAUCUCCGGGGGUAGAGCACUGUUUCGGCUAGGGGGCCAUCCCGGCUUACCAACCCGAUGCAAACUGCGAAUACCGGAGAAUGUUAUCACGGGAGACACACGGCGGGUGCUAACGUCCGUCGUGAAGAGGGAAACAACCCAGACCGCCAGCUAAGGUCCCAAAGUCAUGGUUAAGUGGGAAACGAUGUGGGAAGGCCCAGACAGCCAGGAUGUUGGCUUAGAAGCAGCCAUCAUUUAAAGAAAGCGUAAUAGCUCACUGGUCGAGUCGGCCUGCGCGGAAGAUGUAACGGGGCUAAACCAUGCACCGAAGCUGCGGCAGCGACACUGUGUGUUGUUGGGUAGGGGAGCGUUCUGUAAGCCUGCGAAGGUGGCCUGUGAGGGUUGCUGGAGGUAUCAGAAGUGCGAAUGCUGACAUAAGUAACGAUAAAGCGGGUGAAAAGCCCGCUCGCCGGAAGACCAAGGGUUCCUGUCCAACGUUAAUCGGGGCAGGGUGAGUCGACCCCUAAGGCGAGGCCGAAAGGCGUAGUCGAUGGGAAACGGGUUAAUAUUCCCGUACUUGGUGUUACUGCGAAGGGGGGACGGAGAAGGCUAUGUUGGCCGGGCGACGGUUGUCCCGGUUUAAGCGUGUAGGUGUGUGUUCCAGGUAAAUCCGGUUCACUUUAACACUGAGGCGUGACGACGAGGCACUACGGUGCUGAAGCAACAAAUGCCCUGCUUCCAGGAAAAGCCUCUAAGCAUCAGGUAACAUCAAAUCGUACCCCAAACCGACACAGGUGGUCAGGUAGAGAAUACCAAGGCGCUUGAGAGAACUCGGGUGAAGGAACUAGGCAAAAUGGUGCCGUAACUUCGGGAGAAGGCACGCUGACACGUAGGUGAAGUGAUUUACUCAUGGAGCUGAAGUCAGUCGAAGAUACCAGCUGGCUGCAACUGUUUAUUAAAAACACAGCACUGUGCAAACACGAAAGUGGACGUAUACGGUGUGACGCCUGCCCGGUGCCGGAAGGUUAAUUGAUGGGGUCAGCGCAAGCGAAGCUCCUGAUCGAAGCCCCGGUAAACGGCGGCCGUAACUAUAACGGUCCUAAGGUAGCGAAAUUCCUUGUCGGGUAAGUUCCGACCUGCACGAAUGGCGUAAUGAUGGCCAGGCUGUCUCCACCCGAGACUCAGUGAAAUUGAACUCGCUGUGAAGAUGCAGUGUACCCGCGGCAAGACGGAAAGACCCCGUGAACCUUUACUAUAGCUUGACACUGAACAUUGAGCCUUGAUGUGUAGGAUAGGUGGGAGGCUUUGAAGUGUGGACGCCAGUCUGCAUGGAGCCGACCUUGAAAUACCACCCUUUAAUGUUUGAUGUUCUAACGUGGACCCGUUACCCGGGUUGCGGACAGUGUCUGGUGGGUAGUUUGACUGGGGCGGUCUCCUCCUAAAGAGUAACGGAGGAGCACGAAGGUUGGCUAAUCCUGGUCGGACAUCAGGAGGUUAGUGCAAUGGCAUAAGCCAGCUUGACUGCGAGCGUGACGGCGCGAGCAGGUGCGAAAGCAGGUCAUAGUGAUCCGGUGGUUCUGAAUGGAAGGGCCAUCGCUCAACGGAUAAAAGGUACUCCGGGGAUAACAGGCUGAUACCGCCCAAGAGUUCAUAUCGACGGCGGUGUUUGGCACCUCGAUGUCGGCUCAUCACAUCCUGGGGCUGAAGUAGGUCCCAAGGGUAUGGCUGUUCGCCAUUUAAAGUGGUACGCGAGCUGGGUUUAGAACGUCGUGAGACAGUUCGGUCCCUAUCUGCCGUGGGCGCUGGAGAACUGAGGGGGGCUGCUCCUAGUACGAGAGGACCGGAGUGGACGCAUCACUGGUGUUCGGGUUGUCAUGCCAAUGGCACUGCCCGGUAGCUAAAUGCGGAAGAGAUAAGUGCUGAAAGCAUCUAAGCACGAAACUUGCCCCGAGAUGAGUUCUCCCUGAGACUUAGAGUCUCCUGAAGGAACGUUGAAGACGACGACGUUGAUAGGCCGGGUGUGUAAGCGCAGCGAUGCGUUGAGCUAACCGGUACUAAUGAACCGUGAGGCUUAACCUUACAACGCCGAAG